This is a long non-coding RNA of Engraulis encrasicolus (European anchovy), 1676 nucleotides long. RefSeq lists it as uncharacterized. The record is from RefSeq and is a predicted model, not a curated record. The transcript is spliced from 3 exons. NCBI's taxonomy places the organism in Eukaryota, Metazoa, Chordata, Actinopteri, Clupeiformes, Engraulidae.
CCUGCAUUAAACCUUUCUUCUAGCCACAGCUCUGCUGUCAGUACAUUUUAUUAUGAUACUAUAAGCUCAGAAAUGAAGUUGAUCAAACAAUUCGAUCGGUGCUAUAAACAUUUAAAUGAACCGAAUAGAAAUCAGAAUAGAAACAUCUGAAUGAUCUUUCUUGGACAUAGCCUACAUUUUGAAGUGACCCUUUGAAUUAAAAAGGUUCCUCACCCCUGCUUUUGAGGAAAAACAUCCUUGUGCUUGGCCACUCUGGUUUUUAAAUUAUUCUGAACUAAAGCAAGGAUUGUUCAAGGAAGUUCAAAACAGACUGUCUCUGGUUAAAUUAGUUCUACACCAAGCCUUUAGGUGGCAGUACAACUAAUUCGCACAAUGCGAAUUCCACACACAAGCCACAAAGAAGCCAUCUACCGCGGUCAACAACACCGACCUAUCUGAACAGAACCACGCGCUGUCUGUGUGGUUUCACUGUUACAAGUUUCUUGGCGAUAUGGGGGAAAGUUCCUCACAUACCAACGGAAAAUGGGCUUCACAUACAUGCUGCUGUCUCAUAAUAUGGCGAAGACGAGUCACUUGAAGGCCUAACAGCUCUUAUGAGGAGCAGUCUUGCCAUAGAAGACUGAAAGAAUGUAAGAUUAACUUCUUUGUGACCAAUAUGACUUGCUCAUUGAUACAUUAGCUAUGUCAAUAUGAGAUGCAUGGCGAAGUAUUUAAUUUAUUUGUCUCUCUUCUAGGAGCUGUAGAAACAACAGGGUGCCUGCUGCAGUAUGACGAGGACGCCCUGAUCAUAGAAGGUCCAGUGUCUUGGCAGGGUGAAAUGGCACUGAUAUCGGUAUGUGGUGAUAUCAGUUAAAAUUAAUGAAUUAAUUCUCAUAUCUGAAUAAUGUGAACACUGGAUUUACCACACACUCACACACACCCUAGUCCUAGAUGAUACAACCAAGGUUACUUUUACCACAGCUCUGGCACUGCAUCAAAUUUCUUUUCUUUUUUAUAGAACUGGACAGGUCAUUUAUUCGUUCCCCUUGUUUUUUGCAGUGUCCUGCAGGAUGCUGUGUCCUGCAAUCCUGUGUGCUGUGCUACAGACGCGUGUGGAGGUCAACCCGAAAUGGGCACAGUAGAGUGAAAGAGGAUCCUGGCAGGGAGACGGUAGUGUCCUGCAGGAUGGUGAUGGGCAAUCUUACAAGAGACCACAGAAAACUGAUAUAGUGUAAGAUUAUCCCUGUUGGGCUCAAUAUGUCUUGCUUAUUGAUAUAUUUGCUAUGUCAAUAUGAGGUGCAUGACGAAGUAUUUAUUUAUUUGUUGUUUCUACAGCUCCCAGAAGUGAGACUGAGUGCCUGUUGCAGUAUGACGAGGAAGCAGUGACCAGAGACCUUCAGUAGACCCUGCUGGCAUGAUUGGCGGCUGAAGAACAUAAUCAACAGCAAUGUUUAUAAUAUUGUACAUACCUGUAUAGUCUGCACUAAAAUGCUGUACCUGUACUAUUUUUCCUCUUACUUUCAUAUUUACCACGUAUUUACUAUGAAUUGACAACUUUUACUCAAAUCCAUUUUUGUAUGUGCCCUGACUAAAACUAUCCUUAAACCUAACCUGUCAGAGGUGUAAUAACAACCUGCUCUUAGCAAUGUGGCAGCAGUCUACUUGGAUGCAGCGGGGAACAUAGAACCCUUUUUUUG